Molecule: transfer RNA, 72 nt
Filed under: Camelus bactrianus (Bactrian camel)
Lineage: Eukaryota; Metazoa; Chordata; Mammalia; Artiodactyla; Camelidae
Also listed under: 2 other names
Rfam family: tRNA
About the family: Transfer RNA (tRNA) molecules are approximately 80 nucleotides in length. Their secondary structure includes four short double-helical elements and three loops (D, anti-codon, and T loops).
Source: Rfam by way of RNAcentral
GAGGGCACUGCUCAGUGGUAGAGUGUGUGCUUAGCAUGCAGGAGGUCCUGGGUUCAAUCCCCAGUACCUCCA